Long non-coding RNA from Mustela erminea (ermine), 566 nucleotides. RefSeq lists it as uncharacterized. The transcript has 4 exons. The record is from RefSeq and is a predicted model, not a curated record. Lineage: Eukaryota; Metazoa; Chordata; Mammalia; Carnivora; Mustelidae.
CGAUAGGAUUUUCUCCCAGGUGCAAGUGUGGCUAAGGAUGAUACCAGAACCCUGGAGGCUUCAAACACUCUCCUUGUUUCAUUCUGUUCAGAAACAUGUCAACAUGAGGAAUGGCUGUGCCCACAUCUCAAGAAAUGACCUGUGGUUUAUAAUCCAGGUUCACCACAUCCCAACCACUCAACAGGCACCUGUGGCUAGAGGCUAAUGCAAUGGACAGCACGGGUGUAGACGUCAUCUUUAUGCAAAGCCACUGUAGGGCUAUAAUGAGGAAUGGGAUAUGAAGAUCACCCACGCUACUCCAUGGAUAAUGGAUUUGAUGGGAAAAAGUGGGAACAGGGAAAUCAGACAGGAGGAGAUCAUAGACUCUAAAGGAGACAUUAAGAAGUUUUAAGAGCCAGUGCACAAUUCUUUAUAUAUGUCCUUCUACUCACUAUCAUGAUUUUGAAAGCACAGAUCAAGAGGAAACCUCCAUCAGCUGGUGACAGCACAUGUUCUUUGCUGAAAUCUAUUAGACAUUUAGAGAGAGAGCACAAGCCGGGAGAGCACCAGACAGAGGAAGAAGCAGG